UGCCGCUUGCGUGGCAUCAACGGAAGCUAUGUGCGCACUACGCACCCUGCGCCAUUUUCAGGCCACCAAUCCCCUUUUUAUUUCCUACUACUCCACACUUACUUGAUAACUUGUGAUUCCCCAAAUCAAAAACCCUAAUGGCCCUGCCCUUUCAUUUUAUAUUUAGUUGAUUCUUUAGAGCUUAUAGAAGAUUCAAGUAAGAAUUUCCCCCAUCACAAACAUCGUUUUCUCUUUUCAAAAUCAGGAUUUUUUUGACAGAAAACCCCAAAAGCUCGAAAGCUUUGAUUUUCAAGCUCGGAAUUCUAAUUUCACGGUUUUGGGUCUGGUUGACAUCAUCAGAAGCUCGAAAAGAUUUGUUUUUUCCAUUACAAAUCUCAAACAGGUUGGGAUUUUUAUUUUACGAUUUAAGAUUGAAAACUCUAAGCUCGAAAGCUCAAAUUUCAAGCUUGAAAUUGUUAUCAAAACUCAAGAAAGCUCUGGUUUUCCAUUAUUAGAAGCUCAAAUCAAAAUCCUAAUCUCACUGUUUCUGGGCCAUGAAGAACUUGUGACUGUUUCAGAGGAACAACACAAAAAGCUUUCAACUUUUGCUGAAAUGUCUGUGGAGAGGUCCUUCGAAGCUUGGGAGGAGGUUCAGCGCCAUGGCCAGGACUUAGCGGACCGCCUUGCGCAGGGCUUCACGGGUUUGAUUCAGCCCCACAUCAGUACGCCGUCGUUCGCUUGGCCUAACCCUAACACGUCGAAGCUCUUCGAUCUCGAGUUCCCGAACCAGAGUUUCGGCAAGAGAGACUUUGUUGGCUUGGUGGCCGAGAACUCCGGGAUUAAUGGGGUUUCCGCGAUUCUCAAUAUCGGUAACAGGAUCGGGCAAGUCGGGGCGGAUUUCGGGGCGUGCUUGAAUGGGAUGGUUCAACAGUUCUUUAGGACCUUACCGGUACCGUUUAGGCAUGAUGAAAAUGCUGCUAUAGUGGCUGUUCGAAUUGAUUCGGAUAAGGUUAGGCAGAGAGCAGAUGCGAGUUUGAGUGGUAAGGAGGAUUUGGGGCCAUUGAAGGAACGCUCGAAGGAUUUCAGGGUUGUGGAGAGUGAUGGUGUCUCUGAUGGUUUGGUGGAUGAAGAACUUGCUGGCUUGAAUCUAAGGUCCGCUGGUCUUCUGGGUAGACCACUGGGGAGCAUAAAUACCUCAACAACUUAUGAUAGUAGAACACGUCAGCUAGAAAGUUCUUUCCUUGCAAGGGGAGAUCUAUGGAGAGUAGAGGCUUCGAGUGGCAGUUCCACCUCUAGAAAUGACAAUUCAUCACUCUUCCUUGUCCAGCUUGGGCCUGUACUCUUUGUUCGUGAUGCGACACUUCUUCUUCCGGUGCAUUUGUCAAAGCAACACUUGCUUUGGUAUGGCUAUGAUAGGAAGAAUGGGAUGCAUUCCCUUUGUCCGGCCGUGUGGUCGAAACACAGAAGGUGGCUCUUAAUGUCAAUGGUCUGCCUGAAUCCAUUAGCCUGUUCAUUUGUUGAUUUACAGUUUCCAAACGGGCAAUUUACAUUUGUAUCUGGUGAAGGGCUUUCUACAAGUGCUUUCUUACCUCUGUGUGGAGGCCUUCUACAAGCUCAAGGUCAAUAUCCUGGAGAAAUGAGAUUCAGUUUCUCUCGCAAGAAUAAGUGGGGAACACGCAUCACCCCAAUGAUACAAUGGCCAGACAAGUCUUUUACACUGGGUCUUUCACAAGCCUUGGCUUGGCAGAGAUCUGGUCUCAUGGUGAGGCCUACAAUUCAGUUCAGGUUAGGUUUUUUUGCCGUCUCUCUAUUAGUAAAUCUGUACAUUAUUGUCUUUCCAUCAUUGGUUGUUAAGACUUGUCUCUAAAAUGUUGCAGUGAAAUGAAUGUAACUGUUAAUGUUCUGAAUCUUAUUUUAAUAUAAUGUUAACAUGGUACUACCAUAUGCUUCUGGUCUCUGCACACUUUGUCUCACAAAUAAAAAGCUGCGCCGAAAAAAAAAAAAAAGGAGAAAACAAAAAAAGAAAAACACGAACGUAAAUUUUUUUUCCUAAGAGGGCUAGGAGGUCUGGAGGAGUCAGUCUUUGAGGCCACUGAUUGGUCCUAGGAGGUAUGUUCCUUUUGUUCUAUGAUUUUAUGGGUGGGUUGGUUGGGCCAAAGCAUAUUCUCAAGUUGAAUUGGGGCUAACGAGAGUAAUUUAGUGAUAUUUCAUAGAUUACACAGGUGAUAUAUGCAUAUGUUGCAUGUCUACAUACUGUAGGAAAUGGAUUGAAAUUUUGGAAUUUUUGACAUGGGCAUGUUCAGCAUUGGAGGAAUAGAUGAGGUUAAUUUGGUAUUCAGCAGUCUCUCCAAAGUCAAAUUGUUUAUUUAUGCCCCACUUUUGGUGGAAGCAAUCCUGGUUUGCGGGCAGAACUCAUUCACUCAGUGAAGGAGGAGCUCAACCUGAUAUGUGGUUGU
Non-coding RNA from Prunus mume (Japanese apricot), 2435 nucleotides. Lineage: Eukaryota; Viridiplantae; Streptophyta; Magnoliopsida; Rosales; Rosaceae. The record is from RefSeq and is a predicted model, not a curated record.